Kogia breviceps (pygmy sperm whale) is the source of this 3612-nucleotide non-coding RNA. NCBI's taxonomy places the organism in Eukaryota, Metazoa, Chordata, Mammalia, Artiodactyla, Physeteridae. The record is from RefSeq and is a predicted model, not a curated record.
ACAUACCCUCUCUAAGUCUCUACUUCCUCCUCUGUAACAGGGGGAUGAUGCCUCAUAAAGUACAAUAAUGUAAAGCAUUGAGAAAGGCAAGGAGUAAGCAUUCAAUAAAGGUUAGACAUUUUAAUUGCUUUUCUCAAUUAUUCAUUUGACAAAUAUUUAUUGUUUAAUAUGUGCUAGGCAUUGUUUUAGGCACUGGGGACCUGAAAGUAGAAAAACAUACAGCUUUGGUACUCAUGGAACUUACAUUCUGGGAGGAAGGGAGACCCAAAAUAAACAAACAAGUAAAUAUGCUAUUCCAGUAGGUGAAAAAGUAAUGACAAAGGAGAAAAAAGGAAAAGGGAUUGAGAGCAAUCGGAGGUGGGAAGGGGGUUAGUGACAUCUUAUCAGUUUCUCUGAUAAGAUAACAUUUAAACCAGGAACAAGAGGAUGUAAGGGAGUAAGCCAUGUGGGCAUUUGUAGGGAGAUCAUUCAAGGUACUGGGAACUGCAUGUGCAAAGGCACUGCUGUAGGAGUGUGUUUGGUGUGUUGAGCGAGGAAGAAAGAGCAGCUAGAGUGGAGAAAGUAAGGGGGAGAGUGGCAGGAGAGGAGGUCAGGGAGGCGGCAGGGAGCAGCCAGAACAUCGUACAACCUUAUAGACCAUGAUGACUUUGGAUCUUAACUGCGGGUGAGAUAGGGAGCCACUGACCGGUUCUGAGCCCGAGAAGGUCAAAUAGAGCGAAGUUUCAGGAGGAUUACUCUACCUUCUGUAUGAAGGAUAGACAAUCGGAAGGCAAACAGGGAACCAGGGAGACCAGUUAGUAGCCUAUCACAGUUGUCUACACAAGAGAUGAUAGCAGUUUGCACUAGAUGGUCAUAAUAAGGUGAGAAGAGGUCAAAUGCUGUAUAUAUUUCAGUUAACAGUCAGUAGUAUUUGCAGAUAGAACAGUGUGAGGUUUGGGAAACAGACAGUAGUCAAAGGUGACUCCAAGGUUUUGGCCUGAGGAGCAGGUGGGAUGGAACGAGCACUUACCAAGAAGGCAGAGUCGAAGCGAGGACAAAUUUGGUAAUCUGACGCGAAGGCAAGAGACAAAUCAAGAAUUUUGAUUUGGAUAUACUAAGUUUGAGUUGUCUAUUAAGUAGCCAAGAUGUCAAGCAGGCAGUUUGAUACACUAAUCUAGAGUUUAGCAGAGAUGACAGGGUCUGAGAUAAAACUGUGAGAAUUGUUGUCAUCAUUAGAGCUAUUGGCCAAUAUUUCUGGUUUGCUUCUUCUAGGUCCAUAAUGUGACUGUAUUUCCUGCCCCGUUAGCCACAGCCAUGUGACUUGAUACAGCCAAUGCAAUGAGAACGGAAAUGAUUCCGUCACUUCAGGCAGAGGCCUUGAGAGUUCACCAUUUCUGCUUUUCUUGUCUACGUGAUUGUGGACAUACGUGUCAGCCUGGAUCUCUGAGUGACCACAGUUAACUGUUAUCCCUGCUGACUCAUGAUGGACACUUAGAGAAAAAGAGAAGCAAAUCUUUAUUUUCCUACAGCACUGAGAUUUGAGGGUAUUUUGCAGAAAAAUCUAGCUAUUCUAACAAUUAUGCAUAAAUCAUAAAGAUAAAAAUGUAUUUAAAUCAUGGACCUGGAUAAGAUCACCUACGGCAUGCGUUUUGAUGGUAAUGAGGAGCGGGCUGAGGGCUGAGCCCCGUGGUCCUGUCCCAACACUUAGAGGUGAGGAAGAAAAGGAAGUUCCAGGAAAGGAGAGGAGAGGAGCAGCCGCUAAAGAAAAUUAAGAGAUCGCGUGGAGAAAAUGCCUUAAGAAGGAGGAAGUAAUCGACUGUGUAAAGUGCUGUGGAUUGGCUAAGAAAGAUGAGAAUUUGGAAAUGAGCAAUGGAUGGACAAUGGAUUUGGCAACAUCGAAGUUACUGAUGAGCUUGUUAAGAAAGAUUUUGAGAAGGGUUGGGAGCAAAAGUUGGUUGGUACUGGGUUCAGGAAUGAACGAGAUAAAAGGAAUCGAGAUGGUAAGUACAGACGAGAAAGACGGAGAACAUUUUCCUGUUAAGAGAAACAAAAUGAGCAGGGAUCAAAGGAGGAUGUUUUAAGGUAGAAGAUUAUAGCAAUGAAACAAUUUAUCCAGUAGAGAGAAGAUAUUAAUGACGCAGGAGAGUGGACCACUGCAGGAGCAAUGUCACUGACAGGGAGAGGGGGUGAUCGAGCGUUCAAAUGAUGAGGCUGGAGUGUGAGCAGUCCUCCAUGGUCAGAGGAGAGAAGACAAAUUGUAAGGGUACAGAUGCAGAUAGGGAGGCAGGUGGGGUGAUGAGGUAAAAGUUCUCUUUUGAUUGGUUCGAUUUUUUCAACGCAAUAAGAAGUAACGUCAGGACUUCCCUGGAGGUCCCGUGGUAAAGAAUCUGCCUUCCAAUGCAGGGGACACAGGUUUGAUCCCUCGUUGGGGAGCCAAGAUGCCACAUGCUGCUGGGCAACUAAGCCCACCUGUGUGCCACAACUACUGGGCCGGUGCACCUCAACGAGAGAGAGAAAAACCUGCACACCAUAACUUGAGAGAAGUGAAUGAAGAGCCCAUGUGUGCCUCAACCAAAGAUCCUGCAUGUCACAACUAAGACCCAACGCAGCCAAAAACAUAAAGAAAAUAAAUAAAUAAAUAUUUUUUUUAAAGAAAUAGUUAACGUCAUUUGCUAAGAGUGAGGACAGUGAAGACUCAGCCCAUCAUCAUUGAUCAGCCCUGAAAGGUGUGCAUUGUGAACAGAUCCCCAAAUCUCAGUGGCUUAUGAUAACAGUGUCUGAAUCUCAGUCAAGCCACAAGUCCACUGUGUUUGGCUGCCAUGCUGUUUCAUGUCAUCUUCACUCCAGGACCCAGGAGACCCUGGCAGAGACUAUCUGGAAUGUGGCUGGUGACAGAGGGAAAAGAUUACAGCAAAGCACAAACUCUUCUUAAACUUUUGAAUGAAUGAGAUACAUAUCACUUCUCAUACUCCAUUGGCAGAGCAAGUCUCUUGGCUAAGCAUGACUUCAGUGGCUUGGGAAAGUAGAAUCUUCUCUCAGGAAGGGCAAACAGAUGUUGGUAUACUGUAAUACAAUCUACCAAAGGGACCUCCCCCAGUCUUCCCAGAUAGAGUUCAUCAUUGCUUCCUCUGUUUCACCUCCAGAAUUUCUUUAUGCUUCUAUUAUUACAGAGGGUGUUAUAACUGUUUACAUGGCUCUAGUCCCUUGACUAGACCAGGGACUCUUUGUCAAGAUUAGGACUGUCUGUUAUUGUCUUGUCGCUUAACACAGUGCCUGGGACAGAGUAGAUGCCCUGUUGAAUUAAAUAUCAUUAGUACUGGAUAGAUUGAUGAAGACUGGAUGAAUUGAAUAGAUUUGGAUAGAUUGGAUCAGAUUGAUGUAAAGCAGAGUAUUUGAGUCCAUGUGUUGGUGUGUGGUAUAAAUAAUUAAGCCUGAAUUGAAUGUAGCAUAAGGCAAAAUUAGCUUAGAUGGAACUUUGAAUGCAGAGAGCUGUUUGCUUAAUGAUGAUGCUUUACUGAUGAGAAAAUUAAAGCCUACGUAGAAGAGAGGACUGGUCCCAUGACAUCACAAGAGUCAGUGAAGAAACUAGGUUUUCAUUUUCCUAAUUUGGUUCUCUUCCUAUCAUAACCAGAA